RNAcentral lists this ribosomal RNA (253 nucleotides) under uncultured bacterium. RNAcentral's name for it is "partial 16S ribosomal RNA". It matches the Rfam family "Bacterial small subunit ribosomal RNA", at positions 15 to 256 of the family's 1533-position model. The record is from RNAcentral.
CAUCAUGGCUCAGGAUGAACGCUAGCGGCAGGCCUAACACAUGCAAGUCGAGGGGCAUCACGAGGUAGCAAUACUUUGGUGGCGACCGGCGCACGGGUGCGUAACGCGUAUGUAACCUACCUAUAACAGGGGCAUAACACUGAGAAAUUGGUACUAAUUCCCCAUAAUAUUCGGAGAGGCAUCUCUCCGGGUUGAAACUACCGGUCGGGUUAGUUAGAUGGACGAUGCGGUUGUUAUUAGUCUAGUUGGUUGG